RNAcentral lists this long non-coding RNA (357 nucleotides) under Manihot esculenta (cassava). RNAcentral describes it as "long non-coding RNA (MESC_LNC012757)". The record is from RNAcentral. Lineage: Eukaryota; Viridiplantae; Streptophyta; Magnoliopsida; Malpighiales; Euphorbiaceae.
UCGAGCUAGGAUCGUUUUUCUCUCGGUCUUCAAGAGGUAAGAGCCGAUCUCUAGUUCUAUAUGUGUUUUAAGUAAGUUUUAUGCAAGUUUUUGGGGUAGAAAUGCAUGAGUAGGCUUGAUGGGUUUUUAUGAAAAAUCCAUGGUUUUAAUGUGUGUUUAUGUGCAAUGUGGCUUGCUUGUGUGUUGUAGUUGGGGUUUAAGCUUGUUGGAGACCCCUAGGAGCUUGUAUGCUUGAGUAUGCUUGUUGUAGAAUAGGUUUAUGCAUGAUUGGUUGUGUAGGGGGUUGUUUUGGGCAUGAAGAACCAAGUUUCUGCCCUUUGGCAGAAACCAGGUUCGGCAGCCGAAGGUACUUUCGGN